UACGGGGGGGGCAAGCGUUGUUCGGAAUUACUGGGCGUAAAGGGCUCGUAGGCGGCCAACUAAGUCAGACGUGAAAUCCCUCGGCUUAACCGGGGAACUGCGUCUGAUACUGGAUGGCUUGAAUCCGGGAGAGGGAUGCAGAAUUCCAGGUGUAGCGGUGAAAUGCGUAGAUAUCUGGAGGAAUACCGGUGGCGAAGGCGGCAUCCUGGACCGGCAUUGACGCUGAUGAGCGAAAGCUAGGGGAGCAAACGGG
RNAcentral lists this ribosomal RNA (253 nucleotides) under uncultured bacterium. Its description in RNAcentral is "partial 16S ribosomal RNA". It matches the Rfam family "Bacterial small subunit ribosomal RNA", at positions 524 to 776 of the family's 1533-position model. The record is from RNAcentral.